Molecule: ribosomal RNA, 467 nt
Filed under: uncultured bacterium
Lineage: Bacteria
Description: bacterial SSU rRNA
Rfam family: Bacterial small subunit ribosomal RNA
Source: RNAcentral
GAACGCUGGCGGCGUGCUUCAUACAUGCAAGUCGAACGAUAAGGUCUCUUCGGAGACACAUAAGUGGCGGACGGGUGAGUAAAAUGUAGAGAAUCUGCCCUAGAGAGUGGGACAACAGAGGGAAACUUCUGCUAAUACCGCAUAUGCGCGUACCUGAAAUGGUAUUCGUGAAAACUCCGGUGCUCUGGGAUGAGUCUGCAUCUGAUUAGCUAGUAGGCGGUGUAAUGGACCACCUAGGCGACGAUCAGUAGCUGGUUUGAGAGGAUGAUCAGCCACAAUGGGACUGAGACACGGCCCAUACUCCUACGGGAGGCAGCAGUAGGGAAUUUUGCGCAAUGGGGGAAACCCUGACGCCAGCAACGCCGCGUGAAUGAAGAAGCCCUUCGGGGUGUAAAGUUCUGUCAGUGGGGACGAAACUUGACGGUACCCACAGAGGAAGCAUCGGCUAACUCCGUGCCAGCAGCUGC